CGCACGAGCGCAACCCUUUUCCUUAUUUGCCAGCGGGUUAAGCCGGGAACUUUAAGGAUACUGCCGGUGACAAACUGGAGGAGGGGGGGGACGACCUCAACUCAUCGGGCCCCUUACGACCAGGGCUACACACGUGCUACAGUGGUCGGUACAAAGGGUUGCUACCUAGCGAUGGGAUGCUAAUCUCAAAAAGCCGAUCGUAUUCCGGAUUGGACUCUGCAACUCCACUCCAUGAAGUCGGAAUCGCUAGUAAUCGCGGAUCAAAAUGCCGCGGUGAAUACUUUCCCGGGCCUUGUACACCCCCCCCGUG
This 310-nucleotide ribosomal RNA is filed under the name uncultured bacterium. RNAcentral describes it as "partial 16S ribosomal RNA". It matches the Rfam family "Bacterial small subunit ribosomal RNA", at positions 1088 to 1398 of the family's 1533-position model. The record is from RNAcentral.